UUCCUACGGGAGGCAGCAGUGAGGAAUAUUGGUCAAUGGGCGCGAGCCUGAACCAGCCAAGUCGCGUGAGGGAAGACGGUCCUAUGGAUUGUAAACCUCUUUUGUCGGGGAGCAAAAGACGCCACGUGUGGCGUUCCGAGAGUACCCGAAGAAUAAGCAUCGGCUAACUCCGUGCCAGCAGCCGCGGUAAUACGGAGGAUGCGAGCGUUAUCCGGAUUUAUUGGGUUUAAAGGGUGCGUAGGCGGAUUUUUAAGUCAGCGGUAAAAUGUCCGGGCUCAACCCGGGCCGGCCGUUGAAACUGGGGG
Molecule: ribosomal RNA, 305 nt
Filed under: uncultured bacterium
Lineage: Bacteria
Description: bacterial SSU rRNA
Rfam family: Bacterial small subunit ribosomal RNA
Source: RNAcentral